UUUUGGUAAAAACACUAAAACAUCUCUCCAACAACUCCUUAAAUCCACUUGCUAUAUUUUCCAACUUACUAAACACCGUCUCGGCACGCGUAUAUCUCCGCGCGCGGCGUGGACUUUGUAUCGCGGAUUUCGGCUUCGCCGCCCCCCUCCCGUGCGAGCGAUAGCCUCUCCAGCGCGCGCCAAACUCUUCCCGCGUCGUCCGUCGAUCGAUCCCUCCCGUCGCGCGAUCUGUCCCUGACUUCUCCUCUCCCCGUUCGUGGUGUUCUGAAGGCGAAGCCGCCAGGCCAUCCAUAAGGUACGCCGUCUCCUCAACUCUCCGUCCUGAACUCGUCAACUCUAUCGCCAUCUGCUAGUCUAGGGCUAGGACCACUGGCGGAGCGAUCCCCAAUCGGUCAACCCGAAGUCCCCAACCCUAGUUGAUCUGCAUCGAGGCCAUCAUGCAUCAGGGCCGGUCGCCGUGAAGGAGCAGCCGAGCGCCCGAGCCGGCACCUCACCACUCCGAGCGUGGACCACUAGGGAGCUAGGAGCGAGCACCGUAUAGGAGCCACUUGCGCCGGCUACAAUGUAUAUUCUGAUUUGUUUUUGUAUGUUGCAAUGUUUGAAUAAACUUAUCAACAACUAGUAAUGUACUCUGCAAAUUUGAGGUAGCAUCUUCUGUUGUUCGUUCAUCCAUAUUUUUCCCACUGUUUUGCUUUUAACUUUUGUUGUAAACUGAUUUUAGAAUGGAAGGAGAAGAUGGAGAUUUGUUGUAAACUAAUUUUUGUAGUGCUACUGUGCCUUUUGUUUUGUCAGCUACAGGCAUAUUGUAUCAGAAUUAUUUGCACUUAAAUAUAUUCAGGUUCUCGGUUUGCACUUAAAUAUAUUCAGGUUGUCAGUUUGUCUGCUCGCCUGCUGUUGGACCAUAGUAAAAAAAACAUCUUGGAUCAUACAAACUGUUUGGCUAAUUUAAAUUGACUUGAUAUAUAGUAUAGUACUAUUUUGAUCUGAUCUUGUGAUUUGUUUGUUUGUAUAAACUUUUUUGUAGACCGAUUAGGAUGGAAGGAGAUGAUGGAGACGCACCUGAUGUCGCGUACGAAGGAGUACGGCAAACACGCAAGAGUCACGGCCCAAUCUGAGUGUUGUGGAGAAAGAUGGGCCAACUUUUUCAAUUUUACGAAGUGAGAAUAGUAACUUGUUGGGGAGAUACAUCUUUUUCCCCUUGUCAAACUAAUUUGCAGCUUGCUAUAACCCAAGAUUUAGCAAGUGAAUUUUACCAAGUUGUUGGAGAUGCUCUUACUGUAUAAAGAAACAUAUGUCUAUUCAUAACCUAAGAUAAGAUAUCCAUAGGUUAGAAAUAACUAUGGAAAGAGAGCCGAUUAUACCGCUGAAGGGUGGUACUAUAAAAAGAAACAUCUGUCCAUUCAUAACCUAAAAUAAAAACCUAUAUAUUAGAA
Molecule: long non-coding RNA, 1433 nt
Filed under: Sorghum bicolor (sorghum)
Lineage: Eukaryota; Viridiplantae; Streptophyta; Magnoliopsida; Poales; Poaceae
Description: long non-coding RNA (SBIC_LNC000112)
Source: RNAcentral